GCGCGGGAGGAGGUGCAGGUGGUGGCCGCGCCGGCCCUACCGGAGCACGGUCUUCUUCCGCCGGGCCGGGCAUCGGAGGCUCCCCGCCGAGCAGGGCCGUCCCACCGCUACCCCGGGGAGUCCCCGUCUGUAAACUUCCUGCAACUUCAGUUACCUGUUGCUGGACACUAAACCGCACACCCUGGGCCAUGGAGCUGUUCAAAUUGCACCCAUAUCCGUCUCUUUUUCCUGUGAUCCCCGAUGCUGCACAAAAGACCUCAUCACCUCAGCUAACAGAGGGCUUUUACUCAUCGCCUUCGUACCUCUCGUGUGCCUUUGCUGCCCUGGCAUCCUUAGCUCUUCAGCCAGCCAGCCUUAUCCUAAGUGUUUAACUAGCAGGUAUCUCCAGGGCACAAACUAUUACUACUUUGGCCAUGACAAUAUUCACCUCGGAAUUUUACUUAUUUCAGCAAUUGAUAGGACAAAGAGGUGUUCAUCACCGAAUGCACUGGUACAACUAUUACAUUUAAUGGCAUGGAUUUUUCUUCUUUAUUUUUGUUUCUUACUUUGAAGUAUUAUACUAGUACAGCUUUGUACAAUAUGCCUGUUCUGCCAACAGUGGAACUUGUGUUGACAUAGCUUAUCACCUUCCUAAAACAAGCUAAUGUUACCUUGUGCAUAUUACGUUUUAGACUGAUAUAUGUAUAUCCCCCACAGGAAAGCUCUAUAAAUUAACUUUAUUACUUCUUGCUGCAGGCAAGACACAGGUCUGCAUAAAAAGAUAUGCUGUUCUCAGCAGUAGUCUUGACAUGUGAAAUCAAAUGCAACGUUAUUCAGAAAAGAAAACAUAAAACGGAAUGUAAACACCUGCAUAUAAUUGAGUGUUUCCCAUAGUAAAAGCCUGUUCAAAUCACUUUGCUGAGACCUGCCUGAACAGAUAGCAGCAACAUCCAGUAAUAAUGUAGGAAGAAAUCUACAUGGAUGAAGACUACUCUGGCUGAUGUUACCAAAAGUUAUCCAUAGCCCUGCUUCCACCUCUUCUUUAAUCUGGUGAGAAUAAUUCACUAGGCCAUCAUGUGGCCAUUUUAAAGUUUUAAAAUGUCCUUAAGUUAAUUAUUUUAUUACUUUUAAGUAAUUGUAAUUGCUUUCAUAAGGUUACUUAACCACAUUUUGACAUCUUAUUUACUUUUGUACAUGUUUUGUAAAUGUAAACUCAGCAGGACUGUUUCUAAGAAAUCAUUUUCAUGUUUAUAAAGAAAAGCUUUUGGAAUACAUUUUCUUGGAAAUAACCAAUAUGUACUAGCUAGAGUAAAAAUGCAUAUUGAUAUGAUUUAUAUAUUGUGGUUCAAACUCCAUUGACAUUUGUUGCAUACGCACUGUCAUGCAUUGAUUCACACCAUGUACUGGGAAAUUGUUCUACCAGGCAAUGAUCCACAGUCACUGUCUUGUGGAACAAAUGUAGGAACCUACUAGGAUUCUGCAGUCUGGUGUGAAGCCAAGCUAUUUCCAGGAUUGCUCCUGAGUUAAGGCACCACCAUCUCAAAUGGCUGCUGCCAGCCUGUUUGGAGGAAACAAUGGAGGAUCCAGAGAAUGGACUAGAUAAAGACAUGAUGGUGGUGUACUGAUACUGGCAGGAAAGGAGGACGUGGAGCUCUAAUAAUUCCAUGCCUGGUUGGGAUAGACAGUAAUUAUGCUGGGACUUCAGGAUGGUAAAGGUUGCAAGGAAUCUGUAUAGAUGCAGUGUGAAUAUUCAGCAACAAAGAAGCAAUACAGCAGCACCUCUACAUGUGGACUUUCUGCUCAUUGGGAUUGAUAAUGGUCUACCAGUGUAGAAAUAUUUAUCACACAUGUAUUUCACUGUGGUGGUACUGAGAAAAUACUUGCAGUUUUAUAAAGUUCAUGACCCCAAACUCUGCGGGCAGCAGGGGCUGAAUGUAUGUGCCUAUAUUUCAGAUUGAAAGUUGGGUUUCCUAAAUAGAAAAAAAAUAUUUUUUCUCAAGGUUCUGCAAAGCCUCAUGGAUCGCUACAGAAAGCUCACAGAUAUUAUUAUAGAAUGAUAUACAAUGGUUAAUAACAGGUUUUUUAGAAAUUCAGCCUUAUUUACUGAAACAGAAAUAAGAAUUUCACUGCAGACUGCAAUGGAUGUCAUUGAUGUGUCCGCUCCUUUUCUCACUCUUGGAGGUCCAAAUAUCUUUCUGCUUCUCUGACUAAUGAUGCCUUUUACUUGGCAAAUGCACUGGAGAAAGGAACUGCAUGACUGUUCUAACUCCAGAAUAAUAAUGAAGGGCUUUGUUGGGAAAUUAAGGGCAGGUGGAGGAGCCUUACAAACACUCCGAUGGAUAUUUACAGCAAGAGGCAGAUGUUCACUAUGUCUUGUUGGAAAUCCAUGAGAAGAGAAGAUGAUCUCCAUGCUGCUCAGGGAAACAGGAUGAGUUAAUUGUCCUGCUCUUUCUUCAAUGAGAGAAUGGAGUGGUGAAAAAAUGAAAGUAUUAUAAAGAUAAUGAGAGACAUCUUUGUUAUAUUUUUGAAUUAUUAGGGAAAAAAUGAGAAUCUCAAUGGAAUGAUUCAGUCAAUUUUUUUCAUUACAACCUUAUUUAUUCAGCACAGAUCUGGCACAGCAUACCUUAUCUGCCAAGUGCACUUAUCUUUGUAAAUGAAAGCAGAAAUCAGUCCUGUUUUCUGGAAAGGGUGUAGUGGGGACCUCCAGGAAGCUCCCACUAUUUUUUUACCUCAGAGUGCACUUUAAGUAGUGGCAUAACAUCUUAAUAUUCUUCAGAGGACUGGGGUUUUUUUCACAAUUUACAGCAGAUCUUCCUGUAUGUUUUAUUUCCCUUGUCCCAAACUCCUCUGAAUCUAGAUACUCAUGUCCAAGUUAACAGAAGUCAUCAUAAACAUCCUUCUAUCUUUCCUUCUUAUUUUGCUUCUGUGCUGAAAUCCGUUCACAGAAUCCUUGAUGUUCUCCUUCCUAUCCUCCUUUUCCUUUUUGAAAUAAUUUUUAUUCAUUAAAGCAACCUGUUAGGCUAAAGUUCCUCACCAUAGUGGGGCCUUUGUUGUCAGAGAUAAAUUGCAAUUAUUUGUUAUUUCUGCACUGAAUUUAAUGACAAUAGGUUUUGGGGGUUUUUUAAAAUGAAUUUUGGAAUGUCAUUCCCAUCUGUUUUCCAGUUUGGGCUUCCCUAGGAAGUGGUUGUUCUCAGGUUAUCCCAUAGUGUGUAAAAAAUAAGAAGCUUCUCUCUCGCUACAUCUCUUUUAUAUAGAAAUCCUGUGCUGGUCUUGGAAUGGGAAGGAGGAAAGAAAAUGCUCAGCUGUGAGAUAGUAUCCUGCUACUGAAUGGUAACAGGACUUAAGUUUGCAGUUUUAUGUGCACCUCUGUAGCAAUGUUACCUUGAAGCAUGCUUCCAAGAGCCGAGAAAAAGUCUUACAGCAAAGGCAGUGGAUAAAUUAGAAGGGUGUGCAGCAUUGCAUAGAAGGGUACUAAAGUAUAUUCAAUUGCAGAAGUGAGAGAGACCACACAGAUAAGAAACCAAGAAGGCUGCACUGUUUUGCUCCAUGCAUAAAAAUGGAGCACAGUCUUUGCCCUAAGAUCUCCUGUAACAUAUGCAGGUCAGCAUCAUGUGCACUAGAAGGGAACAGACUGUAGAGCAAUUGGCCCAAAUUCAAGAAUUUUAUAUUGCUAAAGGUUUGAUUACAAGUGUUUUAUAAUCUUAGCAUUUUGAAAUGUUUAAUUUUGGUAAUUCAUCUCAUAAAAUGUGAAAGGAAGCUAAAGAAUGCUUAACAAAUUAUAAGCCAAAAUACAUUUGCUAUUGCUUUUUUUUUUCCCUGCAUUUGCUGUUGCAAAAAUUAUGCAUGCCCUGCAAUCUGUAUUCCCUUUAACUCAUGGGAUACUGCCACAUUGAGUAGCAGGAAGAGCAGCAGCAAGCCCAGAUGCAUAGCAAGCAGGGUGAGAACACAAUAUUGGGUUCUUGUUUGUGAAGCACCACGAUGACCACAGCAGAGAAGGUGGCACUAAACAGAUGGAAAGAGGCUCAUGGUUCAUACAUAUAAUUUUCUCCUGCCAAUGAUGGCAUUCAUAUACCACCUGGCUUAGAGUUGCAGAGCUAUGACAAAAUAUAGGACAUGAUAAGAAUCCUUUCCUCAGCAGCAUUUUCAUGCUAACCACCUUUCUGGAUUUCAAACAGCUUUUUCGUAACCUCAGUCUUUGCAUUUCAGUUCAGGGGUUUGGAAAAAAUACUAGCUCUACAACUCCAUGUUUGAAGUGACAUCAUUUGACAGCUGUGGUAAGUCACCUGGGCCUGUUACAAUAAAGGAGUUCAGCAGUUGACUUCCUUGGAUAAAUUUUUCACAGCUUAUCCUUUUUUGGCUCAUUAGAAGUCAUGGAGGUCUUGUUCACAUCCUUUCAGUUCUUGUAGAAAAGCCAGUGUUACUUGCUUUAUGGCAGCACUGGUCCAUUUCUCAGGAAUGUCCCUCUCUUGCAUUCAGUUUUACCAACAGUCACAAAUGGUAAUGUUUGAAGCAGUGCCAUUAAGUUGGGGCUGGAUAUGCUGAUACACUUAACCCAUGAGACAGUACUGGGGAGGGAAAGAGGUAAUGCUCAAAAAAAGUCUGGAGGAUCACAGACAUACUGGAAUUGCAGUGGAAGCCAUCAGCAUUCAGCAGGAGAGAUUGACAUACUUGAUCCAGAUGAUCUUGUAACAGAAGAGGGCACUCAGGGGCCAGACAGCAAAUAAACCAGAUCACAUUAUACAAUGAGCAAAAAUUAUUCAAAAAUGGGCAGAAUCCUCUCAUAAACUGAAGGGCUGAGGAUCCUGGAUUUCAUUCAUGCUGAAAAAGAAAGCCCAGCCACUUUAAAACAAUCAUUACAAAUAUGCUCAAGCCAACUCAUCUGAAAUAUUUGAAGUAACAUGCCUGUGUAGUCAGGACUUCAUUAUGUUACUUAUUGUUUUCAGGGAGUCAUCACCUGCUCUUUAAAGCAAAACAUACAUUAUGAGACAGAAUGAUUGCUCAUUAUUGUCAUAUUCCUUAACUGCUUUCUAUAUUAGUGCAUUCAAAGGAAUGUAUUUUUCCUCUUCUGCCCUUCUCUGCCUUCAUCCAACAGCAAUCAGCAUUUUCCACAGAGCUCAAAAUUGCUCACAUUCUUAUAAAAAUGCCUCAGCCGUUUGGGAUUUGCUGAGAUGAAAUAAAAAGUGCAUGACUUGAGAAAAUGCAAUACUUUAUCCUGCAUAUUGAUUCCAUGGCUGCUGUAUAAACAGGAACUGUCCAUUACAAGCACUUCCACUGACUUUUUCUUGUGUUGGAACUCAUGUUCUGUAUAAGCCAGGUGUGAUAGGAGCUCACCUGUCAAGAAAAUCAUGUUGCAUUAAAGGGUUGGCAUGAAAUUUAAUGCUUGUAAAUAUAUUGCACCAGCCAAGCUGCAACCUUGCAAUUUUCCAGACAGAUAUAUUUCCUUUUGCCAAAAAGAAUGUGAGCUACUGCAGCUAAUUUUAUGCUAUAUAAAUAAUGCUGAUAGAGAGACAAGCCUGAGAUUAGAUAGGUUAGAUAGGCAAAGUAAUAGAUUAAGUAGGAAAAUCAAAGUGUUUAUUAAUCAGAAAUAUGGACAUGUUCCUUAAGGAGCUGCAGGAAACCAGCUGUAAUGAUGACAAAUGAGAGAUCCCAGAAUAAUUAGUUCAUAUAGACAGCACUGUAACUGAGACAUAGAUCUGCUUGUUGUACAGAGAAAUUUGGCUCUUACAUUCUGAUAGAGAACAUUUCCGCUUCUUAGCCUGUGCUUGACACGCCAACGGAGGGAAGGUUGUGCUGUGUGCCUUGUGGUGCUCUGCCCACUUUGCCUUCUGCUCCAUCUUUCCCCCUGCACCAUGGUGGGAUCAGGCCAAGAGCCACUACAGGUCAGGAACAUAUCCAGGGGGAGCAGAGAUCAAGCUGGUAUCCUGACCAUAUUUUAUAGAUUAAGCAAGAUACCUGAAGCAUGGUAGAUACUUUGCUAUUUUAAUAUUUCUUUUUUUCAAUCUUUCCAUAUUAAUUUUAAAAUUGUACUAUGUUUUCCUUGGCAACAUUUAAAAAUCACUGGUACAUCAGUGUACGAAUAUGAGAAUUUCCUGCUAACAGACCAGACAUGGAACUAAAGCUCUGGGUAGACCCAGUUUGUUUUAUUCCUAAUAAUCCAGCAUUUGUGAGGUUUUAAGGAAUGAUAAAUCGCCUCUUCUUAAAGAGGUUAUGUUAAACUGCAGCUAGUCAGCCUCUGGUAGGUGCCAUAUUUUGCUAAAGCAAAUGAAUCAGGUGCUGAUUUUUAUUUUAACCUACUUUCAUUUUGUUUUCUCCUGUUUACUUUCUUCAUGUUGCUAUCAUACUUGGGAACCCCAAAUUAAUUUUUGCAUGGAAAGCUUCAGAACAGAUGUGCCCCAAACAAUUCCACUGAUAGUGUAUUGUGUCAUGCUUGCCUGAAGUGUUAUAACUUAUUUUAUGCAAACUUGUAUGCUGGGCCUUGAAAUGUACUGUGCAGUUGUCAGAUUGUCAUGGGAAGAAGGUAGGAUAUGCUCAGUGUUUUGUGUGGUUUUAGUCCAUGCCUAGCAGUAUUUCUCCUGACUAGUACACAAACCACUGUAAUGUCUUAAAGCCACAAAAUGUGUAACGUUUAGGUGUUUAUAUUUGCAUGGGAUCCCAUCAAAGUAGCCUGAUUUCCAAAACCACUGAGCAUUUGCAACUUCUCCCGAGGUCAAUGAAAACUCAUCUCUGAAAGACAGUUCCGUUCUGGAAGUUUCCUCACAGGAUUUCUAUGUUGAAUAUUAUAUCUACACUAUGGAAAACACUGUGUGCAAUAUUAUGAGCAUUAAGAUUAAGUGGGUAGCCUGCUGCUUCUCAUUUGUGUAAAAAGACUUGGCUAAAAUCAGGCACAAGAGAGAAGUGAGCUGCUGGUUGCUUCUUCACUCCUCUUUGCAGAUAGGAGCCUAGACAUUGGACUUCCUUCCUUCUGUGUAAUAGAUACCUUUCCUCAUUCUUCUGAGCAGUAUAUACUUUGACUCAUCUCAGGCCUACUUCAAAGGGACAGAAAUCAGAGGGAACACUCUCAGACCUUUCCUACUAGAGUGAAGUCAUACAUUCUUACCUCAGGACAGGUAAACAGUGAGUUAUCUCAGCUGAGAUCUUAGUAAAGACAAGGGAGUUAAUUUUUCAUCUUCAAGAUGUCAUUAAAAUUCAAGUUUAUUUGAAUGUAAUAAUUUAAGUGAAAAUGCCAUGAUGGAUUUUAUUUUAAAAUAGUUAAAAAGAUAAAGUAUCUCUUUUUCAAGGUAUGUCUACUUUCAUGUGAAAAAAAAAAGCUCAGGUCUAAAAACAUGCAAACUGCUGAAUGGUUCUGUUGUACUCCUAUAAAAAGCAAGACCAGAUAGCCUAAUCGAGUUUUAUUAGGCAUUGCUUUCUAAUUGUUGACAUGACUGAAUCAUCAAAGCUGUAAAAAGUGCUUGUCUAGUAUUUUGAGCAGUGUACUUCCUUAAGAAAACUUAGCUCUGGUACAGCAUUCACCUUUAAUUGGUACCUUUCCUCUCAGAUAACUGUGGAAUUAAGAUGAUAAAUAGAGUCAAAUUUCAUGGCUCAUCUUCAUUUUAUAUAGAGUUUUAAAGUUUAGAGCAUGGUAUGUCCUCUUUACAGGAGGUCUGCAUGUCUCAGUCUGCAAGAGGGCUGACAACUGAGCAGCCUGACAGCACAAUUACCUGCAAGGUGUGUCCUACUUGGAAAAGGCUGAGCUUCAGCAGUUUGGUCAUGUCACAGCAUGUGACAAAAUGUUACCAAAGAGGUGAUUACUCCUAUCCUACCACAGCAGUCCGUGUGUCAAUUGGUUCUAGCAAUGGCAGCCAUACUUAACGAAGAACUUCUUGCUAAGCUAUCUAUGGCUGCCUCCAGCCUUGAUUUGGAUGAGAAAAUGCAGGAUGUGGGCAGAGAAGCAUCGUGAGAAUAAAACACACUGCCCUGGGUGAUACUAGAGCUGAGUGUGCACUUACUGUACUGCACUGUGUUCUUCCCCUUGAUCUUAAAUACCAGCAAUUAAUAACGAUCCCCUUAACGUUGUCCAAGUUUGUGUUUGCACAGUAUUGAAAGAGAAGGUAAGUUGCUUACAUUCCUAGAAAUGAAGCAGGCUGUUAACUCUAGAGGGAUAC
Long non-coding RNA from Catharus ustulatus (Swainson's thrush), 8120 nucleotides. RefSeq lists it as uncharacterized. Lineage: Eukaryota; Metazoa; Chordata; Aves; Passeriformes; Turdidae. The transcript is spliced from 3 exons. The record is from RefSeq and is a predicted model, not a curated record.